RNAcentral lists this ribosomal RNA (376 nucleotides) under Duplodicodrilus acinctus. RNAcentral's name for it is "partial 16S ribosomal RNA". It matches the Rfam family "Bacterial large subunit ribosomal RNA", at positions 1926 to 2541 of the family's 2925-position model. The record is from RNAcentral. Lineage: Eukaryota; Metazoa; Annelida; Clitellata; Crassiclitellata; Megascolecidae.
AACGGCCGCGGUAUCCUAACCGUGCAAAGGUAGCAUAAUCAUUUGCCUAUUAAUUGUAGGCUAGAAUGAACGGGUUAACGAAAUAAAAACUGUCUCAAUUAAUCACCUAAAAAUUAUUAUCUAUCUGAAGAAAGGUAGAUAAACUCGAAGGACAAGAAGACCCUAUAGAGCUUAAUUUUACUUAUAGAAUAAAACUAUAAAAAUAUUCGGUUGGGGCGACCCCGGGCUAAAUAAUCACCCAAUAUAUACAAGAUAAAUUAAUCAAAUAAUUGACCCUUAAAAGAUCAUAAAACCAAGCUACCUUAGGGACAACAGGCUAAUCCCACUCAAGAGUCCUUAUCAACAGUGGGGUUUGGCACCUCGAUGUUGGCUUAGG